AGGGCAAUAGUUUCAACGGUAGAACAUCGGUCUCCAAAACCGAGAGUGGGGGUUCGAAUCCCUCUUGCCCUG
Molecule: transfer RNA, 72 nt
Filed under: Thioploca ingrica
Lineage: Bacteria; Pseudomonadati; Pseudomonadota; Gammaproteobacteria; Thiotrichales; Thiotrichaceae
Rfam family: tRNA
About the family: Transfer RNA (tRNA) molecules are approximately 80 nucleotides in length. Their secondary structure includes four short double-helical elements and three loops (D, anti-codon, and T loops).
Source: Rfam by way of RNAcentral